AGCAGCCGCGGUAAUUCCAGCCCCAAUAGCGUAUAUUAAAGUUGUUGCAGUUAAAAAGCUCGUAGUUGAAUUUCGGGGUUAGUAGGUUGGUCGUGCCUAUGGUAUGUACUGGCUUUACUGAUUCCUCCUUCUUGAAGAACUGUAAUGUCAUUAAUUUGGUGUUGCAGGGACACAGGACUGUUACUUUGAAAAAAUUAGAGUGUUUAAAGCAGGCUAACGCUUGAAUACAUUAGCAUGGAAUAAUGAAAUAGGACGUUUGAUCCUAUUUUGUUGGUUUCUAGGAUUGACGUAAUGAUUAAUAGGGAUAGUUGGGGGCAUUAGUAUUCAAUUGUCAGAGGUGAAAUUCUUGGAUUUAUUGAAGACUAACUACUGCGAAAGCAUUUGCCAAGGAUGUUUUCAUUAAUCAAGAACGAAAGUUAGGGGAUCGAAGACGAUCAGAUACCGUCGUAGUCUUAACCAUAAACUAUGCCGACUAGGGAUCGGAUGAUGUUAAUUUUUUAAUGACUCAUUCGGCGCCUUACG
Molecule: ribosomal RNA, 522 nt
Filed under: uncultured Glomus
Lineage: Eukaryota; Fungi; Glomeromycota; Glomeromycetes; Glomerales; Glomeraceae
Description: SSU rRNA
Rfam family: Eukaryotic small subunit ribosomal RNA
Source: RNAcentral